CGUUUCCCCUUUCAGGCCGGAAGAAUUGGGUCUCUUCAGGCUGCAGGGUGUGAACGUCGCUUAAGGACAUUUUAUAUAUGAUAUAUAUGCGAAAUGGGUCGCUGCAAAGAAUAUUGCUGUUCAGGACGCUGCCUGUAAACACGAAGCUUCAGUUCAGUAAAAUCAACUCGUCUGCUGGUUUUUACAGUGUCACAAGCCCUGUGGGUAAUCCGGU
Molecule: long non-coding RNA, 214 nt
Organism: Xiphophorus couchianus (Monterrey platyfish)
Lineage: Eukaryota; Metazoa; Chordata; Actinopteri; Cyprinodontiformes; Poeciliidae
Exons: 3
Source: RefSeq, a predicted model, not a curated record